AGAGUUUGAUCCUGGCUCAGGACGAACGCUGGCGGCGCGCCUAACACAUGCAAGUCGAACGAGAGAGAGGGAGCUUGCUUCCUCAAUCGAGUGGCGAACGGGUGAGUAACGCGUGAGGAACCUGCCUCAAAGAGGGGGACAACAGUUGGAAACGACUGCUAAUACCGCAUAAGCCCACAGGUCGGCAUCGACCAGAGGGAAAAGGAGCAAUCCGCUUUGAGAUGGCCUCGCGUCCGAUUAGCUAGUUGGUGAGGUAACGGCCCACCAAGGCGACGAUCGGUAGCCGGACUGAGAGGUUGGACGGCCACAUUGGGACUGAGACACGGCCCAGACUCCUACGGGAGGCAGCAGUGGGGAAUAUUGCACAAUGGGGGAAACCCUGAUGCAGCGACGCCGCGUGGAGGAAGAAGGUCUUCGGAUUGUAAACUCCUGUUGUUGAGGAAGAUAAUGACGGUACUCAACAAGGAAGUGACGGCUAACUACGUGCCAGCAGCCGCGGUAAAACGUAGGUCACAAGCGUUGUCCGGAAUUACUGGGUGUAAAGGGAGCGCAGGCGGGAAGACAAGUUGGAAGUGAAAUCUAUGGGCUCAACCCAUAAACUGCUUUCAAAACUGUUUUUCUUGAGUAGUGCAGAGGUAGGCGGAAUUCCCGGUGUAGCGGUGGAAUGCGUAGAUAUCGGGAGGAACACCAGUGGCGAAGGCGGCCUACUGGGCACCAACUGACGCUGAGGCUCGAAAGUGUGGGUAGCAAACAGGAUUAGAUACCCUGGUAGUCCACACCGUAAACGAUGAUUACUAGGUGUUGGAGGAUUGACCCCUUCAGUGCCGCAGUUAACACAAUAAGUAAUCCACCUGGGGAGUACGACCGCAAGGUUGAAACUCAAAGGAAUUGACGGGGGCCCGCACAAGCAGUGGAGUAUGUGGUUUAAUUCGACGCAACGCGAAGAACCUUACCAGGUCUUGACAUCCCGAUGACCGGUCCGUAACGGGGCCUUCUCUUCGGAGCAUUGGAGACAGGUGGUGCAUGGUUGUCGUCAGCUCGUGUCGUGAGAUGUUGGGUUAAGUCCCGCAACGAGCGCAACCCUUAUCCUCAGUAGCCAGCAGGUCAAGCUGGGCACUCUGUGGAGACUGCCAGGGAUAACCUGGAGGAAGGUGGGGAUGACGUCAAAUCAUCAUGCCCCUUAUGAUCUGGGCUACACACGUGCUACAAUGGCGUAAACAAAGGGAGGCAAAGCCGCGAGGUGGAGCAAAUCCCAAAAAUAACGUCUCAGUACGGACUGCAGUCUGCAACUCGACUGCACGAAGCUGGAAUCGCUAGUAAUCGCGAAUCAGAAUGUCGCGGUGAAUACGUUCCCGGGUCUUGUACACACCGCCCGUCACACCAUGGGAGUUGGUAACGCCCGAAGUCAGUGACCCAACCUUUCAGGAGGGAGCUGCCGAAGGCGGGACUGAUAACUGGGGUGAAGUCGUAACAAGGUA
Molecule: ribosomal RNA, 1478 nt
Filed under: metagenome
Description: bacterial SSU rRNA
Rfam family: Bacterial small subunit ribosomal RNA
Source: RNAcentral